This 1416-nucleotide long non-coding RNA is filed under the name Manihot esculenta (cassava). RNAcentral describes it as "long non-coding RNA (MESC_LNC002576)". The record is from RNAcentral. Lineage: Eukaryota; Viridiplantae; Streptophyta; Magnoliopsida; Malpighiales; Euphorbiaceae.
GGCCAAGCACAAUUCUAUUCUCAACACAAUUCUUUACAUAAUACCACAUUACAACAUUUUACAAUACAUGUCCACAUCUAACUAUUACAUACAACAUGACUUCUUUACUCUUGCUGACUUCCUGGUCUAUCCCGUACCUGCAAACCUGGGGAUUAAGGGAAUGUGGUGAGCUACUAGAGCCUAGUGAGCAGAAUAAUAAAGCAUAUGAUCUUAUGGAAUGCAUCACACCACAAACAAAUCACAAUCAAGGAUGGACUUGUCACCAGUAGUCCUCUACAUACCCAAUAGUGCCAGGGGCAUAGAAUGGGCCUCGUCCUGGUCUUUCUCUUAACAUAACAUAACAUAGCAUUCCAAUAAUGCCAGAGGCGUAGAAUGGGCCUCGACCUGGUCUUUCUCUUAACAUAGUGCCAGGGGCGUAGAAUGGGCCUCGACCUGGUCUUUCUCUUAACAUAGUGUCAGGGGCGUAGAAUGGGCCUCGACCUGGACUUUCAUACCAUACCAUAUCAUCAUCAUGUCAUAUCAUACGAGGACUAAAUGAUCAUCCAAUACCCAUCCACAUCAUCAUCAUAUUAUGCAAUGCAACAUAUUCAUGAAUUCUAAUGCAAACAACCUAAUAUAUCUCAUGUCAUUCGUGAUUCAUGAACAUGCUCAGAACUGAUUUAUUUACUUUGAAACAUAAUGAGUUAUUCUACUCACCUCAGGCUAGCUCUGAAAAGACACUGAAACAGCUAACUCACUGCUGGGGUCCUCGAUUCCUCGGGUCCGAACCUACACAGGUGGACUCAAAUGAGGGACCAAACAUACAUGAACAUGACUCUAAACAACUCCCCAAAAACCCCCCUAAAACACCUUAAAACAAUCAUAGAAAAUAUGCAAAGGAAGGCUGAACAGGGCACUUUCGGCGGCCGAAAGUCCCUCCAGAGCCGAAACUCAGCCACUUUCGGCGGCACCUUCGGCGGCCGAAACUCCCCUCCAGAGCCGAAAGUCCAACUUUCGGGGGCAGGGUUUGGCAGCCAAAGGCUUGCCUCCACAGGCAGGUUCGGCGGUCGAAAGUCCUUCGGCUGCCGAACCUAAGUUCUCCCAAAGGGGCAGAACUCAGCCUCCUCAUGCACAUUUUGCCUCCCAAACCAUUCAAACAUGCAUUUAGCUAUUCUACAACAUGCAAACCCAAGCAAACAAGCAUAUCGGGGUCUCAAACUAACCUAAACCCCAACACCAACACAUAUAGCAACUCAUACAACACACAUUAUCCAUAAACUCAACAUUAACCUAAACAUGCAUUUCUACCCCAUAACCCCUCAAAACUUGCUUAAAACAUACAAGAAAGGUAGGAUCGAAGCUUACCUCUUGAAGAUCGAGAGGAAAGACGAUCCUAACUUGGAGAUGGGAGAAAUCUAGCUCCUUGGGUCUCCAAGC